This 221-nucleotide unclassified non-coding RNA is filed under the name fungal sp. Its description in RNAcentral is "partial internal transcribed spacer region". The stretch from base 1 to 46 matches the Rfam family "Eukaryotic small subunit ribosomal RNA", at positions 1786 to 1831 of the family's 1831-position model. Lineage: Eukaryota; Fungi. The record is from RNAcentral.
AAGUCGUAACAAGGUUUCCGUAGGUGAACCUGCGGAAGGAUCAUUAACACAAAAAGUUCUUUUUUUUGCUUUGUAACAGAAGCAAAGAAAAAACAUUUUCUCCAAAAACUUUAUUUUUUUACCCCAUAUACCAAACAUGCGAUAGACUGAUAUCAUUUUUAUGAUCAUUAUCUAUUUAAUGAUUACUAAAACAACUCUUAGCAACGGAUAUCUUGGCUCUC